GAAAUUGUUUUGGGAAUUAAAUGAUCCCUCUGCUUUAUUUCAGGCUCAUAAGUCGACCAUCUGGCAGGUGAAGCAUUUGCCUCAAAACAGAGACAUCUUCAUGACCGCAGGAGGAGCAGGCAACUUACAUCUCUGGAAAUAUGAGUAUCCCGCUCAGAGAAGCAAAAAGGGGUCAGAUGACAUGGAUGUGGGCGUAGCUGGCUCUGUUAACCUCCUACAGAACGCUACCCUGUCUACUCAGCCGAUCGCCAGCCUGGACUGGAGCCCCGACAAGCAGGGCCUGUGUGUGUGCGCGAGCUUUGACCAGUCAGUCCGCGUGCUCAUCGUCACCAAACUCAACUCUGUGUGAAACAGUAGACCAGAACAAAAACUGACGGUCAGGGUGUGUGCAGCCUGAUAUGAGAUGAGACAUAAUGUCAGAGACACCAACAGUGUGUAAAUCACUGCCGUUCUGUCAGGCUGAAUAGUCUUUUAUUAGAAGACAACAAUUUCCUCCUGCGUGUCUUGGCUGCUGUCUUUCUAGAUUUUGUACAGUCGAUACUCAUCCUCAGAAAUGUCUUGCCAGGAAACUGUUUAACUCAAAUGAACUUGGAAAUCCUUGGUUGGUGUUAUGCUGUGUGGUCUCUGUUAAAUGCUAGCCUUGAAAAAUGUGUAGUGCUUGGCUGAGCCCUGCAUGCAGUGUUAACCUGGAGUGCAGAGAAAUCCAAUGAUACCUUUCUUGUAUUAUCAAAAGAGCCUCUAAUGGGAUGAAGGAAUGAGUCAUUUGGCCUCUGGCUUGGAAAAACAGUUUGGGGAUCAAGAUUUAAUGUUUUUUAUCUGGUUUCAUUUUUGUAGGAUGUUCACUGAAACACGUCUUUUGUUGCACUAUUGGUGGAUGUGUUGUUCUCCAGUUUUGUCUGUUGUUGCUAUUGUCACUUUUGAUAUUCCAUUUUUAUUGAGAGCUCUGUUUUUUCAAAUUAAAUGUGCUUUUGGAGAAAAAGA
Non-coding RNA from Epinephelus lanceolatus (giant grouper), 981 nucleotides. The record is from RefSeq and is a predicted model, not a curated record. Lineage: Eukaryota; Metazoa; Chordata; Actinopteri; Perciformes; Serranidae.